AGUGAACGCUGGCGGUAGGUCUAACACAUGCAAGUCGAACGGCAGCACAGUAAGAGCUUGCUCUUACGGGUGGCGAGUGGCGGACGAGUGAGGAAUACAUCGGAAUCUACUUUUUCGUGGGGGAUAACGUAGGGAAACUUACGCUAAUACCGCAUACGACCUACGGGUGAAAGCAGGGGAUCUUCGGACCUUGCGCGAUUGAAUGAGCCGAUGUCGGAUUAGCUAGUUGGCGGGGUAAAGGCCCACCAAGGCGACGAUCCGUAGCUGGUCUGAGAGGAUGAUCAGCCACACUGGAACUGAGACACGGUCCAGACUCCUACGGGAGGCAGCAGUGGGGAAUAUUGGACAAUGGGCGAAAGCCUGAUCCAGCCAUACCGCGUGGGUGAAGAAGGCCUUCGGGUUGUAAAGCCCUUUUGUUGGGAAAGAAAAGCAGCAGGUUAAUACCCCGCUGUUCUGACGGUACCCAAAGAAUAAGCACCGGCUAACUUCGUG
This 492-nucleotide ribosomal RNA is filed under the name uncultured bacterium. RNAcentral's name for it is "partial 16S ribosomal RNA". It matches the Rfam family "Bacterial small subunit ribosomal RNA", at positions 29 to 507 of the family's 1533-position model. The record is from RNAcentral.